AACGAACGCUGGCGGCAUGCCUAGCACAUGCAAGUCGAACGAGGCCUUCGGGUCUAGUGGCGCACGGGUGCGUAACGCGUGGGAACCUGCCCUUAGGUUCGGAAUAACUCCCCGAAAGGGGUGCUAAUACCGGAUAAUGUCUUCGGACCAAAGAUUUAUCGCCUUUGGAUGGGCCCGCGUUGGAUUAGCUAGUUGGUAGGGUAAAAGCCUACCAAGGCGACGAUCCAUAGCUGGUCUGAGAGGAUGAUCAGCCACACUGGGACUGAGACACGGCCCAGACUCCUACGGGAAGCAGCAGUGGGGAAUAUUGGACAAUGGGCGAAAGCCUGAUCCAGCAAUGCCGCGUGAGUGAUGAAGGCCUUAGGGUUGUAAAGCUCUUUUACCCGGGAUGAUAAUGACAGUACCGGGAGAAUAAGCUCCGGCUAACUCCGUG
RNAcentral lists this ribosomal RNA (433 nucleotides) under uncultured bacterium. Its description in RNAcentral is "partial 16S ribosomal RNA". It matches the Rfam family "Bacterial small subunit ribosomal RNA", at positions 29 to 507 of the family's 1533-position model. The record is from RNAcentral.